RNAcentral lists this ribosomal RNA (478 nucleotides) under uncultured bacterium. RNAcentral's name for it is "partial 16S ribosomal RNA". It matches the Rfam family "Bacterial small subunit ribosomal RNA", at positions 28 to 523 of the family's 1533-position model. The record is from RNAcentral.
GACGAACGCUGGCGGCGUGCUUGACACAUGCAAGUCGAACGGUAAGGCCCUUCGGGGUACACGAGUGGCGAACGGGUGAGUAACACGUGGGUGAUCUACCCUGCACUUCGGGAUAAGCCUGGGAAACUGGGUCUAAUACCGGAUAGGACCACUGCCUGCAUGGGUGGUGGUGGAAAGCUUUUGCGGUGUGGGAUGGGCCCGCGGCCUAUCAGCUUGUUGGUGGGGUGAUGGCCUACCAAGGCGACGACGGGUAGCCGGCCUGAGAGGGUGACCGACCACACUGGGACUGAGAUACGGCCCAGACUCCUACGGGAGGCAGCAGUGGGGAAUAUUGCACAAUGGGCGCAAGCCUGAUGCAGCGACGCCGCGUGAGGGAUGACGGCCUUCGGGUUGUAAACCUCUUUCAGCACCGACGAAGCGCAAGUGACGGUAGGUGCAGAAGAAGGACCGGCCAACUACGUGCCAGCCGCCGCAGUAA